RNAcentral lists this ribosomal RNA (253 nucleotides) under uncultured bacterium. RNAcentral describes it as "partial 16S ribosomal RNA". It matches the Rfam family "Bacterial small subunit ribosomal RNA", at positions 524 to 776 of the family's 1533-position model. The record is from RNAcentral.
UACGUAGGGGGCAAGCGUUGUCCGGAUUUAUUGGGCGUAAAGAGCGUGUAGGCGGCCAGACAGGUCCGUUGUGAAAACUCGAGGCUCAACCUCGAGAUGUCGAUGGAAACCGUCUGGCUAGAGUCCGGAAGAGGAGUGUGGAAUUCCUGGUGUAGCGGUGAAAUGCGCAGAUAUCAGGAAGAACACCCGUGGCGAAGGCGGCUUUCUGGGACGGUACUGACGCUGAGACGCGAAAGCGUGGGGAGCGAACAGG